RNAcentral lists this ribosomal RNA (253 nucleotides) under uncultured bacterium. RNAcentral's name for it is "partial 16S ribosomal RNA". It matches the Rfam family "Bacterial small subunit ribosomal RNA", at positions 524 to 776 of the family's 1533-position model. The record is from RNAcentral.
UACGUAGGGGGCAAGCGUUGUCCGGAUUUAUUGGGCGUAAAGAGCGUGUAGGCGGCCAAACAGGUCAGCUGUGAAAACUCGAGGCUCAACCUCGAGACGUCGGUUGAAACCGUUUGGCUAGAGUCCGGAAGAGGAGAGUGGAAUUCCCGGUGUAGCGGUGAAAUGCGCAGAGAUCGGGAAGAACACCAGUGGCGAAAGCGCUCUGCUGGACUGCAACUGACACUGAGGGACGAAAGCUAGGGGAGCGAAAGGG